This 256-nucleotide long non-coding RNA is filed under the name Homo sapiens (human). RNAcentral describes it as "HSALNT0081381". The record is from RNAcentral. Lineage: Eukaryota; Metazoa; Chordata; Mammalia; Primates; Hominidae.
CAGAGUUCUUUCCUAAAGCAAUGGUCCCUUCUCUGAUAGAAUCCAGACUCUCAAGUAAGUGAGAAUUACCAAUAUAUACCACAUUAAGUCUCACACUAUAGAUAUUAAUUUUUUUGCUAAUAAAUGUGAAUGCUUAUAUUUGAUUUUUAAAUUUUAUGUUUUCAGUCAUUGAUAGGACAUUUGGGCUUAGUGUUUUUGUGUAACAUUAAGAACAUGAAGUCACAAAUGCAGCUAGAGAAGAGACAAAGCAUGGGAA